CACGUAUUUAGCCGGAGCUUCUUAGUCAGGUACCGUCAUUUUCUUCCCUGCUGAUAGAGCUUUACAUACCGAAAUACUUCUUCACUCACGCGGCGUUGCUGCAUCAGGGUUCCCCCCAUUGUGCAAUAUUCCCCACUGCUGCCUCCCGUAGGAGUUUGGGCCGUGUCUCAGUCCCAAUGUGGCCGUCCACUCUCAAGCCGGCUACUGAUCGUUGUCUUGGUAGGCCGUUACCCUGCCAACUAACUAAUCAGACGCGGGCCCAUCCUGUACCACCGGAGUUUUUCCUGCUGUACCAUGCGGCACUGUAGGCUUAUGCGGUAUUAGCAGCCGUUUCCAGCUGUUGUCCCCCUGUACAGGGCAGGUUACCCACGCGUUACUCACCCGUCCGCCACUCAGUCCUGCGCAUCUUCCCUCCGGAGAGUUCCGCCGCGCAGUCUUCGUUCGACUUGCAUGUGUUAGGCACGCCGCCAGCGUUCAUCCUGAGCCAGGAUCAAACUCU
RNAcentral lists this ribosomal RNA (499 nucleotides) under uncultured Lachnospiraceae bacterium. RNAcentral's name for it is "partial 16S ribosomal RNA". Lineage: Bacteria; Bacillati; Bacillota; Clostridia; Lachnospirales; Lachnospiraceae. The record is from RNAcentral.